UACGAAGGGGGCUAGCGUUGUUCGGAUUUACUGGGCGUAAAGCGCACGUAGGCGGUUCGUUAAGUCAGAUGUGAAAGCCCCGGGCUCAACCUGGGAAUGGCGAUGGAUACUGGCUCGCUAGAGUGCGGUAGAGGUGAGUGGAAUUCCCAGUGAUAGAGGUGAAAUUCGUAGAUAUUGGGAAGAACACCGGUGGCGAAGGCGGCUCACUGGCUCAUUACGUGACGCUCAGGCGCGAU
This 236-nucleotide ribosomal RNA is filed under the name uncultured bacterium. RNAcentral's name for it is "partial 16S ribosomal RNA". It matches the Rfam family "Bacterial small subunit ribosomal RNA", at positions 524 to 757 of the family's 1533-position model. The record is from RNAcentral.